RNAcentral lists this ribosomal RNA (392 nucleotides) under uncultured bacterium. Its description in RNAcentral is "bacterial SSU rRNA". It matches the Rfam family "Bacterial small subunit ribosomal RNA", at positions 362 to 771 of the family's 1533-position model. The record is from RNAcentral.
UAUUGCACAAUGGGGGAAACCCUGAUGCAGCGACGCCGCGCGAGUGAGGCGGUAUUUCGGUAUGUAAAGCUCUAUCAGCAGGGAAGAAAAUGACGGUACCUGACUAAGAAGCCCCGGCUAACUACGUGACAGCAGCCGCGGUAAUACGUAGGGGGCAAGCGUUAUCCGGAUUUACUGGGUGUAAAGGGAGCGUAGACGGAAAUGCAAGUCUGAUGUGAAAAUCCGGGGCCCCACCCCGGAACUGCAUUGGAAACUGUAUUUCUAGGGUGUCGGAGAGGCAAGUGGAAUUCCUGGUGUAGCGGUGAAAUGCGUAGAUAUCAGGAGGAACACCAGUGGCGAAGGCGGCUUGCUGGACGAUGACUGACGUUGAGGCUCGAAAGCGUGGGGAGCAA